UACGUAGGGUGCAAGCGUUAAUCGGAAUUACUGGGCGUAAAGCGUGCGUAGGCGGUUGUGCAAGACAGGUGUGAAAUCCCCGGGCUUAACCUGGGAACUGCACUUGUGACUGCACAGCUGGAGUACGGCAGAGGGGGGUGGAAUUCCACGUGUAGCAGUGAAAUGCGUAGAGAUGUGGAGGAACACCGAUGGCGAAGGCAGCCCCCUGGGCUAACACUGACGCUCAUGCACGAAAGCGUGGGGAGCAAACAGG
RNAcentral lists this ribosomal RNA (253 nucleotides) under uncultured bacterium. RNAcentral's name for it is "partial 16S ribosomal RNA". It matches the Rfam family "Bacterial small subunit ribosomal RNA", at positions 524 to 776 of the family's 1533-position model. The record is from RNAcentral.